Molecule: ribosomal RNA, 464 nt
Filed under: uncultured bacterium
Lineage: Bacteria
Description: partial 16S ribosomal RNA
Rfam family: Bacterial small subunit ribosomal RNA
Source: RNAcentral
GACGAACGCUGGCGGCGUGCUUAACACAUGCAAGUCGAACGGAAAGGCCCAGCUUUCUGGGGGCGCGCGAGUCGAACGGGGGAGUGACACACGUGUGUUCUCUGCCUUACUCCGUGGUAUAACUUGAAGACUCGGGGUCAUACCCGGGAUGGCAACCCCUGCUGGUCGGUGGUGGAUGGUUUGUUCGGUUAGGGAUGGGCUCGCGGCCUAUCAGCUUGUUGGUGGGGUAAUGGCCUACCAAGGCGUGGACGGGUAGCCGGCCUGAGAGGGUGGACGGCCACAUUGGGACUGAGAUACGGCCCAGACUCCUACGGGAGGCAGCAGUGGGGAAUAUUGCACAAUGGGCGGAAGCCUGAUGCAGCGACGCCGCGUGGGGGAUGACGGCCUUCGGGUUGUAAACCUCUUUCGCCUGGGACGAAGCGUUGGUGACGGUACCUGGAUAAGAAGCACCGGCUAACUACGUG